ACAUGCAAGUCGAACGGAGUACUCUCCCGAGACCGAGGAAGCUUGCUCCAAAGAAUCAUUGAAGUACUUAGUGGCGGACGGGUGAGUAACGCGUGGGUAACCUGCCUCACACUGGGGGAUAGCAGUUGGAAACGACUGAUAAUACCGCAUAAGCGCACAGUAUCGCAUGAUACAGUGUGAAAAACUCCGGUGGUGUGAGAUGGACCCGCGUCUGAUUAGCCAGUUGGCGGGGUAACGGCCCACCAAAGCUACGAUCAGUAGCCGGCCUGAGAGGGUGUACGGCCACAUUGGGGCUGAGACACGGCCCAAACUCCUACGGGAGGCAGCAGUGGGGAAUAUUGCACAAUGGGGGAAACCCUGAUGCAGCGACGCCGCGUGAGUGAUGAAGUAUUUCGGUAUGUAAAACUCUAUCAGCAGGGAAGAUAAUGACGGUACCUGACUAAGAAGCACCGGCUAAAUACGUGCCAGCCGCCGC
Molecule: ribosomal RNA, 475 nt
Filed under: uncultured bacterium
Lineage: Bacteria
Description: bacterial SSU rRNA
Rfam family: Bacterial small subunit ribosomal RNA
Source: RNAcentral